Passer domesticus (house sparrow) is the source of this 902-nucleotide long non-coding RNA. RefSeq lists it as uncharacterized. Lineage: Eukaryota; Metazoa; Chordata; Aves; Passeriformes; Passeridae. The record is from RefSeq and is a predicted model, not a curated record. The transcript is spliced from 6 exons.
ACUGCACCAGCUGCGGGGUCCUGCACCAUGACAUCAAACCAGAGAACAUCCUGGUUGACCUGGCCACCGGGCAGGCCAAAUUGAUUGACUUUGGCUGUGGCACCUACCUGCAAGAGACAGCCUACACUCACUUUGCAGGAACACCAUCAUACAGCCCCCCGGAAUGGACCCGCUUUGGCUGGUACCAUGGCGAGCCAGCUACCAUCUGGUCCCUGGGCAUCCUGCUGCACGAGAUGGUCUGUGGGAAGAUGCCUUUCAGGAGGGGCUGGAACUUCAGCUGGGGCCAGCUCUCACUGCCACAACGGCUCUCUCCAGAGUGCCAAAAUCUGAUUGGGUGGUGUUUAUCCAUGCACCCCUUGGCCAGACCCUCAUUAGAAGAGGUGUUCUGUCAUCCUUGGAUGCAGGAUAUUCAUCUGCCCUAGAAGAAGGGAGAGAGCCACAGGCACACUGUGCUGCAGGGCCCUGGGAAGGAGAAGGAGCCCCCAGAGAAGCUGUACCGGGUGGGGCUGCUGCUGCAGGAGACAGCGAGGAUGACAUCAAGGAUGACAUGAAGGAUGACAACCUCUUCCUCAACCUGGCCACCAGCAGUUGAAGAGGAAGCAUUCUGGUUGGUCCAGUCUGGAUCGGGAAGUGCUUGGGAGCAGCUGUGGCGUGGAUGGGCCGUGCCCUUGGAGCAGGCUGAGGACAUCGUUUGGGACCAGCUUUUCUUCCAGCCAUGGAUGGCAUGAGCCGGGCUCUGCGGAUGCUGAGGCUGCUCUGGGCUCUGCCAGGGCUCUGCUGGAGCUCAGCACCGGGCCGGAAUCAGCCAAAGAAGAAAUGGUGUCACCUGCAGCACAGACUUGCUUGAGCAUUUUGGCAACACAGCUCAAGUUUGCAGAGUGACACCUCCCAAAAAUUAAACU